RNAcentral lists this ribosomal RNA (448 nucleotides) under uncultured bacterium. RNAcentral's name for it is "bacterial SSU rRNA". It matches the Rfam family "Bacterial small subunit ribosomal RNA", at positions 355 to 796 of the family's 1533-position model. The record is from RNAcentral.
UCGAGAAUUUUUCACAAUGGGCGAAAGCCUGAUGGAGCGACGCCGCGUGGGGGAUGAAGGGCUUCGGCCCGUAAACCCCUGUCAUUUGCGAACAAACCUAGUCCGCUAACACCGGACGAGCUGAUUGUAGCGAAAGAGGAAGGGACGGCUAACUCUGUGCCAGCAGCCGCGGUAAUACAGAGGUCCCAAGCGUUGUUCGGAUUCACUGGGCGUAAAGGGUGCGUAGGUGGCGGGGUAAGUUCGAUGUGAAAUCUCCGAGCUCAACUCGGAAAUGGCAUUGAAUACUAUCUCGCUGGAGGGUCGGAGGGGAGACUGGAAUUCUCGGUGUAGCAGUGAAAUGCGUAGAUAUCGAGAGGAACACCAGUGGCGAAGGCGAGUCUCUGGACGAUACCUGACACUGAGGCACGAAAGCUAGGGGAGCAAACAGGAUUAGAUACCCCCGUAGUCC